GCGCCCGUAGCUCAGCUGGAUAGAGCAUCUGACUACGAAUCAGAAGGCCGGAGGUUCGAAUCCUUCCGGGCGCG
Non-coding RNA from Thalassospira sp. TSL5-1, 74 nucleotides. Lineage: Bacteria; Pseudomonadati; Pseudomonadota; Alphaproteobacteria; Rhodospirillales; Thalassospiraceae. The record is from Rfam.